AUGCCACGAAACCACCGAACAUCUUUGGUUUUGGAGCUACAAGGCGCGCGGGGAAAAACAUCAGAGAAGCUGCCCCAACAAAAUGAAAAAAUCACACAGUCUACACUCUUGAAGGAGCAAAAGAGACAAAGAGCGAAGACCACACCCAGUAAGGGCUACAACCAGCAUACAUAUUUAGAGGUUAAGAAUCACGACCAGCUAAUAAAUCUAUGUCUUCAUAGCGAGAAGCCACCCCCGAAGCAAGGAGUCCUUUCACAGCACUGGUUCAGUCCUAGCCAGGGUGAGGAGAGGCGGUGCUCGCGCCAAAUGUUCCAUCCUUUGCACCAGGAGACGACAUCUCCUCUUGGCGGGAUCCGCGCACCUGAUCUCCCACAAGGUUAA
Molecule: ribosomal RNA, 381 nt
Filed under: Triticum aestivum (bread wheat)
Lineage: Eukaryota; Viridiplantae; Streptophyta; Magnoliopsida; Poales; Poaceae
Description: partial small subunit ribosomal RNA
Source: RNAcentral